AUUAUACCUUCUUUUCUCCAUGGUCAGAAGGCAAUUAAGUAAAAUUCAACUAUCCUUAGGGGUGUAAUCACUUUACUAAUACAGAUAAAACCAUUAUGACCAAGUAGGAAUUAUAGCAUAAGCUCAGCACAUAAAAUGGAAUUAUUUAAAUUAUACUACAGUGAAGCUAGUCAGGAAUAAGACUCCAUUUAUUUUUGGCCUGAACACUUCUUUCAGAUGAAGAGAAAUGUUACUUCCAGUUUUACAUAUAUUUCUGGGAACGAAACUCAGGGCUUGUCCACAAUACUACAAUUUUCCUGUGUUGGGAUCCUCUCUACUUGAAGUGCCUGGGAGAAAAGCACAUCCUACUCAGCAGUGAGUGGAAGCAAGUCCGUCAUUCUCUGUUCCCUCAGUCUUCCUGUUUUCUUCAUUAUGCCCCGAUGGCUGCCUUCUGUGAAGUUCAUUGUUGAGUGGGGAGGUUGCAAAAUCAGAGCUCAGACCCCUGAAAGGGCGCACUGCUUGGUGAUGCAGAAAUGGUGGACUCGAACAAAAUUGUGACAUACGUGGAUGACUGAAUAGCUAACUUUGCUGUUAGCCCUUCUCUUCCCUGACCCCGUAAGUGGAUAAUAACAAACACCAAGAACCUGGGGUUGCAGAGUGUUUCUUCUGCUUGGCUUGUUCCAAACCCUUUACCAGCCACUACCUGUUGACAAUUACGUGUUGAAAUAGAAAAAGCACAGGUGGAUGACUCAGGUACAGCAGCCAAUAAUGAUAACUUGAGAUGUAACAAAAUUAGGUACUUGUGAUGAACAAUUGAUCUUCCAGCAGAUAAAAGAACAGAUGGAAUCUUAGAUGAUUU
RNAcentral lists this long non-coding RNA (838 nucleotides) under Homo sapiens (human). RNAcentral's name for it is "HSALNT0244046". The record is from RNAcentral. Lineage: Eukaryota; Metazoa; Chordata; Mammalia; Primates; Hominidae.